Molecule: ribosomal RNA, 271 nt
Filed under: uncultured archaeon
Lineage: Archaea
Description: partial 16S ribosomal RNA
Rfam family: Archaeal small subunit ribosomal RNA
Source: RNAcentral
CGGCGCCACAAGUGGGAGCCACUUUUAUUGGGUCUAAAGCAUCCGUAGCCGGUUUGAUAAAUUCUUUGUGAAACUGUUAAGCUCAACUUAACAACGUGCAGAGAAAACUGUCAAGCUUGGGACUGGGAGGGGUAAGAGGUAUUUUUAGGGGAGCGGUAAAAUGCUAUAAUCCUGAGAGGACCGCCAGUGGCGAAGGCGUCUUACCAGAACAGGUCCGACGGUGAGGGAUGAAAGCUAGGGGAGCAAAACGGAUUAGAUACCCGAGUAGUCC